UUGCUCUUCAACGAGGAAUUCCUAGUAAGCGUGAGUCAUCAGCUCGCGUUGAUUACGUCCCUGCCCUUUGUACACACCGCCCGUCGCUACUACCGAUUGAAUGGCUUAGUGAGACCUCCGGAUUGGCUUUGGGGAGCCGGCAACGGCACCUUAUUGCUGAGAAGUUGGUCAAACUUGGUCAUUUAGAGGAAGUAAAAGUCGUAACAAGGUUUCCGUAGGUGAACCUGCGGAAGGAUCAUUAAUGAAAUUAUGACUGGGGUUGUAGCUGGCCUAUAAAACGGCAUGUGCACGCUCCUUUCACAAUCCACACACACCUGUGCACCUUCGCGGGGGUCUUUUUUUCUCUUCGGGGGAAUAAAGGCUCGCGUCCCUUUACACACCCUUUGUAUGUCUUAAGAAUGUCUACUCGAUGUAAUAAAACGCAUCUAAUACAACUUUCAACAACGGAUCUCUUGGCUCUCGCAUCGAUGAAGAACGCAGCGAAAUGCGAUAAGUAAUGUGAAUUGCAGAAUUCAGUGAAUCAUCGAAUCUUUGAACGCACCUUGCGCCCUUUGGUAUUCCGAAGGGCACACCUGUUUGAGUGUCGUGAAAUUCUCAACCCUCCUCGCUUUUUCGGCGAGCGUAGGGAUUGGACUUGGAGGCUUUGCCGGGCUCUCAUCGCUCGGCUCCUCUCAAAUGCAUUAGUGCGUCUUGUUGCGACGUGCGCCUCGGUGUGAUAAUUAUCUACGCUGUGGUGCGCUUGCUUCUUGUGGAGACACGCUUUCGAACCGUCCGAAAGGACAGCUUUCAUCGAACUUUGACCUCAAAUCAGGUGGGACUACCCGCUGAACUUAAGCAUAUCAAUAAGCGGAGGA
This 854-nucleotide ribosomal RNA is filed under the name uncultured fungus. Its description in RNAcentral is "eukaryotic LSU rRNA". The stretch from base 1 to 241 matches the Rfam family "Eukaryotic small subunit ribosomal RNA", at positions 1593 to 1831 of the family's 1831-position model. Lineage: Eukaryota; Fungi. The record is from RNAcentral.